RNAcentral lists this ribosomal RNA (251 nucleotides) under uncultured prokaryote. RNAcentral's name for it is "partial 16S rRNA". It matches the Rfam family "Bacterial small subunit ribosomal RNA", at positions 525 to 775 of the family's 1533-position model. The record is from RNAcentral.
ACGAAGGGGGCUAGCGUUGCUCGGAAUCACUGGGCGUAAAGGGCGCGUAGGCGGACAUUUAAGUCAGGGGUGAAAUCCCGGGGCUCAACCUCGGAAUUGCCUUUGAUACUGGGUGUCUCGAGACCGGAAGAGGUAAGUGGAACUGCGAGUGUAGAGGUGAAAUUCGUAGAUAUUCGCAAGAACACCAGUGGCGAAGGCGGCUUACUGGUCCGGUUCUGACGCUGAGGCGCGAAAGCGUGGGGAGCAAACAG